Long non-coding RNA from Amphimedon queenslandica, 366 nucleotides. RefSeq lists it as uncharacterized. The record is from RefSeq and is a predicted model, not a curated record. Lineage: Eukaryota; Metazoa; Porifera; Demospongiae; Haplosclerida; Niphatidae. The transcript has 2 exons.
GUAAACAAUUUUACCUUAGCUGAGGUAGGCAUUUGCUUUGCAUCUUCUCCUCUCUGAGGUUCUGUCGUACUCAUAAAGACGUUUAAGACUAAGAAGAAUGUCAGGCGUUCAUCCACAACAAGCCAAGAAUGUCCCAAUGAUGGUACAACCAGUUCCCGUUCAAAUGGUUCCCUCCAUGGCUCCAUACCAGCCUGGUAUGAUGCAGUAUGCUAUGGCUCCUCCUGUUGUUCACUUACAGUCUGAAUUUGUUCCUAACGAUUACUUCAUUCCUACACUAGUUAUUGCUAUUGUCUGUCCUAUUAUGAGCUUCACUACAAUCUUCUUCACUGUUGCUGCCAUAAUCUGUUCAAUACUGGUAAGCACACA